Molecule: long non-coding RNA, 3917 nt
Organism: Ictalurus furcatus (blue catfish)
Lineage: Eukaryota; Metazoa; Chordata; Actinopteri; Siluriformes; Ictaluridae
Exons: 3
Source: RefSeq, a predicted model, not a curated record
UGCGCUCAGAUUGACAGGAAGUGGGUUGCCCAAAGUGUUGGCACGAGAUACUCGCGAGCGGAGCGGUUUAAGCAGUGCUCGCGCACUAAGUAGCACCACACAGUACACAGACGCAUCACGCGCUCGGUUUUCUCUCUAUUUCAUCCCUCCAGUCAAUGUUUUUCUUUUCUUUUCUUUAUCAACCUGUUUGCUGUCGGUACGAGUUGUUACGGUAAACGUGUAACACCAGUUUUGUUUAAAUAUCAGAUUUAUUUUUCUUCAGAUACCAGGAACUUCUGACUGGUCACCAACCAGAGUACCAAGGAUGCGCGCGAAUACUCUGUCGAAGGAGAUGGUCAACACCAAUGCUUACACAAGUUCCUUCCACGUUUUCCACACUGUUUUUUGUUUAGUUUUGUCGGUAUUUUUGGUGGUAUUUUGUGUCGUCAUAACCUUAAGGACGUCUCACCUGGAGCACAGAAUGCAGUUUCUGGAAAGCGAGCGCGUUUCUGUCCUGAGCUCUGCACCUCCAUCACUGCAGGCUGCUAACCUCUCUCUGUGGGAUGCGAUAGAAAAACUCGUCCAUAAGAGACUCAUGGAGGAAGUGCCUAAACUCCGAACACCGAGGGAAGUAGGUCAAGAGUGCUCUUGCCCACCAGGACCCCCAGGUAGACGUGGAAGAAAAGGGAAUCCUGGUGAGUAUUUAUUUCCUUAAUAAUAAUAAUAAUAAUAAUAAUAACCUUUAAACCUAAAAAGAGUUUAAAUUGAUUUCAGUUGUGUUCCAAUAAAAAAAAUUUUUAUUAAAAAAGUCUCAUCCCUUAUGCCAUGUCUUCAUGUUUGCUCAAUAUUCUUUUUAUUCUUUUUUUGUUUGUUUUUUUGGUCAUAGGCUUCUUGUCUUGUUAGUUUGUAGAGCAUCUGUUUAGAACAUAUGUAAAGUCUGUGCACAUUUGAGGUUUCUUUACACUGUAGUCAUGGUAAGAUUUCUAUCAGGUUUAUCAUAUGGGGUCACAUAACAUAGAGAAUUAACCUAUACAUUUCCAAACCUUAAAGUUUACUGCCCAGUACCUACAUUAAAAAUAUUGCACAAUGAUGAAACUAAUAUUAUGUUAUAAGUCUGAGGUGAGGUGUAGAAACAUCCAUGUUUCCUUAAGGUUUAAGAGUCAAUGCUUCAGUAUCUAUCCUAGCAAUGUGCUAUACAGAAGCUACUCAACAUACAAUACAUCACUGUAACAAUUUGCAUCCAUGAUGGCUGGAUGAAGGGAUGAGUGGGUCAAUGACUAGAUAGAUAGAUGGAUUGUGGAUUGAUGAAGGGAUGGAUGAAUGGAUGGGUGGGUGGUUGUAUGGAUGAUGAAUGGUUGGAGGGAUUGAUGGGUAAACAGAUGGCUGGUUGUAUGGAUGGAUGAAUGGAUUGUGGAUUGAUGGACUAAUGGAUGGAUGAAGGGAUGAGUGGGUGUAUGAAUAGAUGAAUAGAUUGUGGAUUGAUGGAUGAAUGAGUGAGUUGUUGGAAUAAUGGAUGGGUGGUUGUAUGGAUGGAUGAACGGAUGGGUGGUUAUAUGGAUGAUGAAUGGUUAGAUGGAUGAAUGGAUUGUGGAUUGAUGCACUAAUGGAUGGAUCAAGGGAUGAGUGGAUGUAUGAAUAGAUGAAUAGAUUGUGGAUUGAUGGAUGGAUAAAUGAGUGAGUUGGUGGAAUAAUGGAUGGCUGACUGGAUGGAUGGAGGAACGGAUGGGUGGUUGUAUGGAUGGAUGAAUGCAUGACCUUUCAAUGCAUGACAAAAAAUAUCAGUUAUAGUUAUGAAUUUUUCCGCACAGUUGAAAAAAAAACCUUACAGUUGAUCCCAGAGUUUUCAAUAAAAAGCUGGUUUUCAGGAAAUACAGAGAAAAAACAUAUUAUACAUAUCAUAAUGAGUAUUCUAGCUAUAAUUUAAUGUAUUUGUAGCAUAAAAGAAAAGGAAGUGUGCAUUUUUAUUAUUUUAUUACUGACAACAUCCAUUAACAGGGGUCAAAUCACAGACGAGCAAAUCAGAAACUACAUGAUUAGAGGAAAACAAGGAACAGAGAAAGACGAUUCAAAGAACCGCAGCUUAGUCUUACAGUUAUACAUAUGCAUGACUUUGUAACUAAACUCUAGAAACAUAACAAGACUAAUCAUGAGCAGCUAACAUAUAGCUCAGGAAGAUAAUGGUGAUGAAAGGAAAUGUGCAACAUGAGUCCAGAACAGGAGUGAGGCAAUGAAGAAAAAAAUGAAAAGUACAUAUUAAGUAAUAAAAAGGUGAAGACGGUAGGAGGUUGUAAAUUUGUUUUAGUAAAACCACAAAGGACUUUCACAUAUUUUUAAAAUAAUUAAUUACAGAGGCAAGUUUCAGAAUUCACCCAUGCACAUGUGUGAAGCUGUUUCUAUAUUUAUGACUUCAUUUUAUCAGUGUGCAUCAGAUCAAAGUACAAUUUUUAUAACUCCCUGUCAGACGGUAGCUUUUUCCUGGAUGGGCUCCACAUUUUUUCACCUGACUGUUGAUUAAUUUAUGGAUGAAAGGUGCUUCUGUUAAAUCUCAUAGUAAGACUCAGCUGCUGCUUUUAAUAGUGUUGCUGCAACACUCAACUGCAUGCACCUAUUUUAUGUAUGAUACAGUGCCAUGAACUGCAUUACCUCUGAAUUCUGCAUGUCAAAACAGAUAAGCGAUUGGAUGGAUGGAUAGAUGAUUGGAUGAUCGAAUAGGUGGUUGGCUAGAUGCAUGAAGGGUUGGACGAAUGGAGGGAUGGACGGCUGUGUAAAUGGAUGCAUUGCGUGAAUGAGUGAAUAGGUGAUGGAUGGAUUCUUGGAUGAUGAUAGACGGGUGGGUGGAUGCAGGGAUGGAUGGAUUGUGGAAUGGGAUACUGAUAAAAGGAUGAUUGAGUGUAUGAACUGCUGGAUGGAUGCAGGAAUAAAUAGUUUAAUGGAUGGGUAGAUGGAUGAAUGGAUGGAAGGAUUGUGGAUUGAUUGAUGAAGGAAUGAAUGGAUGGGUGGUUGAAUGAACGGAUGAAUGUUUGGAUGGAUGAACAGAUAGGUGAAUGGUUGGAUGGAUGGAUUGUGGAUUAAUGGAUAGAUGAAGGGAUGGAUGAUAGAUGGAUAGAUUGAGGCAUGGAUGAAGGGAUGAGUGGGUAGAUAAAUAAAUGGAUAGAUGGAUGAAUUGUCGGUUGAUGGAUUGAGGACAGCAUGAAUUGAUGAAUGGGUGGAUGGAAAUUAACUUUUUUUAAUUUUACUUACUACACAUAUUUACACAGUGCAGAAGUAUCAGUACACAAGAAAAAAAAGCAGUAACACAUCAUCACUGUGUGUGUGUUUAUGGCAUGUGAGGUAUUGGAUUAAUGUGUAAUGUGUGCAGUAUGAGAUAAUGAGAUAUGGUAGGUGAGAUAAUGGAGAGUCAACACCUGCAAGCAUUAGAAAAAACAACAUGGGAUAUACAUCAUCAAAGACCACAGUCACAAACACAUGCUUUGGUGGAUGAAGGGAGAAGAAAUGUGUCUUUGUUCUCAGUUUGAUGACUUUGGCCCAUGGUGACGACGGGAGGACUUACAGCCUCCAAAACACUCAGCCUGCUCUCCAUAAAAAGCUCCCCUUCAGUGGCCCAGUGCUCUGGGUGACCUGAACUGACACAGUGGGAUCUUUCUUACAUUUCUCUAUCUUCUAAUCACUCAUUCAUUAUUCUCACCAUGGUAGAGAUGGAUCGGGUUUCCCACAUGGCUGAGUGACAGCACACCCUUUAAAAGAGACCUUAUCAGUGCAGCCAUUUGUAGGAGUUCUUGUUUGUUUACGCUGUGCUCUGAUCCUGUCCAGAUCAGCUCAAGACCUUUUGCAGUUCUGCAUACGAGUCAAACUCCAUUUUCUGUCAGAUUCUCCAGCUAUCAUCUCUCUGGAGUCACCAGAGCUUUGCCAGUAUCUGCCUAAACCAUUAUGCUUAGUGU